This 104-nucleotide small nuclear RNA is filed under the name Rhinolophus ferrumequinum (greater horseshoe bat). The record is from RNAcentral. Lineage: Eukaryota; Metazoa; Chordata; Mammalia; Chiroptera; Rhinolophidae.
GUGCUCACUCCGGCAGCACAUAUACUAAAAUUGGAAUGAUACAGAGAUUAGCAUGGCCCCUGCGCAAAGAUGACACACAAAUUUGUGAAGCGUUCCAUAUUUUU